This is a non-coding RNA of Microcebus murinus (gray mouse lemur), 317 nucleotides long. The record is from RefSeq and is a predicted model, not a curated record. Lineage: Eukaryota; Metazoa; Chordata; Mammalia; Primates; Cheirogaleidae.
AAAGAAUUGAGAAGUUUUUUUUGGUCAGGCACCACCUACCCUGAUCUUCAAAUACUGCUUUGAUCACACUGACUGCAAUUCAAGAUCUUACUAUACACCGACAAGAUCAGAGGGCAGUAGACUUGAAAAGAAGUUGUGGUAACAAUAGAUGGGGUCUCAAAACUACAGGUCCUCAAAUUUAAAGAAUUUAAACUGAUCAGCCACAGAUUUUGACAGCUUCAAAUAAGCACUGAUGGAGGUACGGUGUCAUAACCCAAAGAUUUUUCCUAACAUGAGUGCAUCCUUUGCUAUGUCAAAGUCUUGCUUUAGCUGUUUUA